GACGAACGCUGGCGGCGUGCUUAACACAUGCAAGUCGAACGGAAAGGCCCUGCUUUUGUGGGGUGCUCGAGUGGCGAACGGGUGAGUAACACGUGAGUAACCUGCCCUUGACUUUGGGAUAACUUCAGGAAACUGGGGCUAAUACCGGAUAGGAGCUCCUGCUGCAUGGUGGGGGUUGGAAAGUUUCGGCGGUUGGGGAUGGACUCGCGGCUUAUCAGCUUGUUGGGGGGGUAGUGGCUUACCAAGGCUUUGGCGGGUAGCCGGCCUGAGCGGGUGACCGGCAACAUUGGGACUGAGAUACGGCCCAGCCUCCUACGGGAGGCAGCAGUGGGGAAUAUUGCACAAUAGGCGGAAGCCUGAUGAAGCAACGCCGCGUGCGGGAUGACGGCCUUCGGGUUGUAAACCGCUUUCGCCUGUGACGAAGCGUGAGUGACGGUAAUGGGUAAAGAAGCACCGGCUAACUACGUG
Molecule: ribosomal RNA, 468 nt
Filed under: uncultured bacterium
Lineage: Bacteria
Description: partial 16S ribosomal RNA
Rfam family: Bacterial small subunit ribosomal RNA
Source: RNAcentral